UUUUUUUUUUUUUUUUUUUGAGAUGGAGUUUUGCUCUUGUUGCCCAGGCUUGUGCAAGAUUGUGCAAUGGCACAAUCUUGGCUCAACGCAACCUCCGCCUCCCGAGUUCAGGCGAUUCUCCUGCCUCAGCCUCCCGAGUAGCUGAGAUUACAGGCAUGUGCCACCAUGUCCGGCUAAUUUUGUAUUUUCACACUUUGGGAGGCUGAGGCAGAUGGAUCACUUGAGGUCAGGAGUUUGAGACCAGCCUGGCCAACAUGGUAAAACCCCAUCUCUAUUAGAGAUAGGAAAAAAAUUAGCUGGGUGUGGUGGUGCACACUCUUAGUCCCAGCUACUUGGGAGGCUGAGGUGGGAGAAUUGCUUGAACCUGUGAGAUGGAGGUUGUAGUGAGCUGAGAUGGUGCCACUGCACUCCAGCCUGGGUAACAGAGUGAGACUGUCUCUCAAAAAGUAAAAAAUAAAAAGCUAUUAAUAAAUUAUUUUGAGGUGGGGUCUCAUUCUGCUGCCCAGACUGGAGUUCAGUGGUGUGAUCAUGGUUCACUGCAGCCUCAAACUCCUGGGCUCAGGGGAUCCUCCUGCCUCAGCCUUUUGAGUAGAUGGGACUGCAGGUGAAAGUUUACUUUUGAAGGAGGAGGGUCUCACUAUGUUGGCUGGUCUCCAACUCCUGGCCUCAAGUGAUCCUCCCACCUUGGUCACCCAAAGUGCUGGGGUUACAUGCGUGAGCCACUGUGCCUGGCCAAAACCUGCUUAUUUAAACAGCUUCAUUGAUUAUUCCUUAACAGAUUGAAUGGUCUCCAUGUAAUUUCUCCUGACUUUUCAGGAUUCAUAUUAAUUAAAGUUGGACAAUGAAGAGAAAGGACAUGUUGAUCAUUUUGUUACUGGUCUAGCCUACCGCUCAUGAAGAGCCCCUGAAAGUUCAGUGACAGAUUGGGUAUCAAAUUUCUUUCAGAGUAGAUUGAUUAUCUUAGAACCUAGUGGACUAUAGAUAAAUAAUCUAAAACAGGGGUUUCCAGGCUGAGGUUUUGACCCUGGAGUCCAGGAGUGUUAAUGGAGGUGUGAAUCUUAAAACUUUAUUAUUUUUAAAAGUCCUAUAUUAAUUGCUAGCUAGUUAAUGCAUCAAUAAUUUGCUUUUGGUUAGAAUUCGGUUAUCUCAGUUUGGGAAAACAAGCUUUCUUGUUCUGAUCAGAAGCUCUGAUUAGUGGCUGACAUUGUAGGAAUUGUUGGAUUUGAUAAUUGGAUCAAAUUCUGGUACCAUAGCUACUGUGAUCAGCCACAAUAGUCUUUUUUUUUUUUUUUUUUAGACGGAGUAUUGCUCUGUUGCCCAGGCUGGAGUUCAGUGGCACGAUCUUGGCUCACUGCAACCUCCGCCUCCCAGGUUCACGCCAUUCUCCUGCCUCAGCCUCCCGAGUUGCUGGGACUACAGGUGCCAGCCACCACACCUGGCUAAUUUUUUGUAUUUUUAGUAGACACUGGGUUUCACCAUGUUAGUCAGGAUGGUCUCGAUCUCCGGACCUCAUGAUCCACCCGCCUCGGCCUCCCAAAGUGCUGGGAUUAACAGACGUGAGCCACCGCACCUGGCCUAGCCACAAUAUUCAUACUGGACAGAUGCUAUAUGUGAUCUUCUUUGGCUAUGGAUAUGCAGUGGCAGCAGACAUUAGCAGAAAUACACAGGAAGGGAACACCUCAUGGUGGUGUUAACAGCAAGCCCUUGGCUUUUAGUGGACAGAUUCCUAGGAAGAAAAUACUUUGUAAAUAUUGUGACCCUGUAUGCAUACACACGAAUCCAGUGGAAACAGAAGUUGCAUAAAAACAGUUCUUUCAAAUGUGCAAUUCUAUCAUAUGUUCUUUUUUUUUUUUUUUUUUACUUUUUUUUGAGACGGAGUCUUGCUCUGUUGCCCAGGCUAGAAUGCAGUGUCGUGAUCUGGGCUCACUGCAACCUCCGCCUCUGAGUUUCAAGCGAUUCUCCUGCCUCAGCCUCCCAAGUAGCAGGGACUACGGUUGUGCGCCACCAUACCUGGCUAAUUUUUGUGUUUUUAGUAGAGACGGGGUUUCACGAUAUUAGCCAGGCUCGUCUUGAACUCCUGACCUCAAGUGAUCCACCUGCCUUGGCCUCCCAGAGUGCUGGGAUUACAGGCAUGAGCCACCACCCUGGCCCUUUUUUGUUUUUUUAAAUAAAAAUAAUGCUGCUUGUCAGCCACAUUGAUUUCAGGAACCAUCAAUAGGAUGUGAUUCUGGUUUAAAGAAAAAGCACUGCUUUAGACUCAUUCAUGAUAUUUCAUGUCAGCAUUUUUUUUUAUGCCAGAGCCUCACUCUGCCCCUCUGAAUCUUAGUUUAAAACUCUUUUUACUAAUUUAUAUGAAGCAUUCAGUAAAUUCAUUUUGUAUUGAAGCUGAGGAAUUAGUUGAGUGCUAACUAGGUCAUUUUCCUGUGUGUUUUAGUUGGAGAUCUAUUAUAGUAAAAUAAUUCGAAUGGUAGUCAGAAAUAUUUGGUUGGUGAAAAGAUUAUUUUGGAUUAUGUUUGUUUGGGGAAAAAAUAUGCUGGCCUUGGUAUGCUGAGUGAAUUAGAGAGCUUUAUUUACUUUAUUUUCUCAAGGGUCUCUCCCCUGACACUCCCUGCCCCUGCCUCCCUCACUUCACCCAGAAUUUAAGCUUCUUAAGGCUGAUUGGUGCUAUAAGCUUCCUGUGCUAUAUCCCUUGUAAUAGUGCCUGGCACACAGCAUAGUAGUGUCUUAACGUAGUAGUAGCUUCUCACGUUGUUCUUUUUGAGCUCUUCUGUACUGAUAAACCAUCAGACUCUUGAGAACAGAAUGUGUGUGUGUGUGUGUGUGUGUGUGUUGUUUGUGUGUGUGGGGGGGUGUCUGUGUGUUCAUUGUCUGGCGGGUGGUCAGGGCACAUCAGUUUUUUGUUUUUGUUUCUUUUUUUUUUUUUUUUUGAGAUGGAGUCUUGUUCUGUUGUCCAGGCUGGAGCAACAGAUCUCGGCUCACUGCAGCCUCUGCCUCUUGGGGUCAAGCGAUUCUCCUGCCUCAGCCUCCUGAGUAGCUGGGAUUACAGGCGCCAGCCAUCGUGCCCAGCUAAUUUUUGUAUUUUUAGUGGAGAUGGGGUUUUGCCAUGUUGGCCAGGCCAGUCUUGAACUUCUGACCUCAGGUAAUCCCACCCUCCUCGGACUCCCAGAGUGCUGGGAUUACAGUCGUGAGCCACCGCACCCAGCCAAUAAUUUUUUAAAUUUUUUUUUGCGGAGAUGGGGGUCUUCCUAUUCUGCCUCAGCUUGUCUUGAACUCCUGGCCUCAAGAGAUCCUCCUCCCUUGGCCUCUCAAAGUUUUGGGAUUACAAGCAUGAGCCACCACACCUGGCUCAUUUUUAACUUUUAUCUUCAACUGUAAUUUCAGUGUCAUCACAUGACUAAGAUUAUACAAGAAGUUAUCUUGUGAGCAUUUGGGACAAUAAACAGAAUUGGCCAGGCACAGUGGCUUAUGCCUAUAAUCCCACCACUUUGAGAGGCUGAGGUGGGAGGAUCGUUUGAGCUCAGGAGUUCUGGACCAGCCUGGGCAACAAAGCGAGAUCUGUCUCUACAGAAAAUGAAAAAAAUUAGCUGAGUCCAGGUGGCACACGUCUGUAGUUCCACCCACUUGGGAGGCUGAGACAGGAGGAACACUUGAGCUGCAGUGAGCUGUGGUAGUGCCACUGUAUUCCAUCCUGGGCAAGAGAGCAAGACCCUGUCUCAAAAAAAGCAGAAUUAUAAAGUUGGUAUGGACUUGUGCAUACAAACAUUGGCACACUGUCUGAGUGUUCCAUUCUGUUUAAAAGUAUAGUCACCACAUUGUUGAAAGAUACAAAUUUAAUGCAAAAUAAUAUUUUUGAGGCAUGCAACUCAUUUUACAGGUUGAGAAAAUAAGGAGAAAUUGACUGGCUUUCCCGAUUUUCUUGAGCAGUUGAAAGCUUAAGGCAAAGGAUGCGAUGCAAACUUUUGUGUACUCAGAAUCUUUGUAUUUGCUAAAAUUAGAGAAGGGGACCAGGCACUGCAAAGUCUGAAAACUACUGUUCUGUGAAAUUAGGAGUGAAAUUUAGUGAAUCAGACUUGUGUGCUGUACCUGAGGCAGUGUAUAUAUGUAAAGUAGGCUCUUGAUAAAACUGUGGUGAUUGCUUGAAACAUUGAAGGUUUGUGUAUAGGAGAAAGGCAUGAUGAAUUCAGUGUUUCAGAUGGAUUUUUGUCCUUAGCAAUUUGGUUGUAUUGUUAGUAUAUAUUGAAUAACAAUAGGCAAAUUAUUUGUCUUCUCUACCUCAGUUCCUCUCUCUUGCACCCUCCUUUCCCAAACUCUUUGUCUGUCCUCCCUCUCCACCCUGGAUGUGAGAUGAGUGUGUUUUGGGGACUAAGUACUUUAAGUUGUGUUGUUCUGUUAGCAUACCUCAAGUCAGUACUGCAGUGAGUACAAAUCUCAUUCAUUACUUUUAUAAAGGACAAGGCUCUUCUUUCUCUGCAUUUGGUCAUAAAUCUAGAUCUUUACUCAUCCCAAGUAAAGCGUAGAGGAUAGUUGUAAUGACUUCUUUGAGGAUUGGUUCUUUCUGUCAUGGUCAAUAACUUUUCAGUCUCACAUGUCAAGUUUUCUGCUAUCAGAGAAAGCUGUUGUAUCAUUUUUGCUUAAAUAUUUUUUUCUUUUUUUGAGACGGGGUCUCACUGUGACACCCAGGCUGGAGUGCAGUGGUGCAACAUUGGUUCACUGCAGCCUUGACCUCCCAGGCUGCCAUCUCAGUCUCCUGAGUAGCUGGGACUACAGGUGUGCACCACCAGGCCUGGCUAAUUUUUGUAUUUUUUGUAGAGACAGGGUCUUACUGGGUGGUCUUGAACUCCUGGGCUCAAACAAUCCACCUGUAUCGGCCUCCCAAAAUGCUAGGAUUAAAGGUGUGAUUGCUGAGUGUUUUUGGCAACCUAUGUUGAAGGAGAGUCAGGAGGUAUUUUGCCUUGACUGCCCCUCUCUUAGCUUGGGCUGCUAUAACAAAGCACCAUAGACUGGGGGAUUAAACAGUAGAAAUGUAUCUUCUCAAAGUUCUGGAGGCUGAAAGUCUGAGAUCAGGAUGUGAGCAGGGCUGGUUCCUGGAGAGCCUCUCCUCUCGACUUGUAGAUGGCUGUCUUUUCUCUCUGUCCUUACAGUCAUUCUUCUGUCUGUGUUGUCUGUGUCCUAAUCUUCGUUUAAAAGAAUACCAGUUAGAUUGGAUUAGGACCCUAAAUCUAAAUAGACUCACAUUGUGAGGUACUGGAGGUUAGGACUUAAACUUAUGAAUUUUUGAGGGGACACAUUUCAGCCCAUGACAGCCGCCAAGAGACUGUUGUGAUUUUGGCCAAGUAACUUUAUAGUUUGCAGGAUGUGAAGCUGAAGUGUAUAAGGUAUAGAUGCAGCCUGGUCACUGUAUUGUGAAGAGAUUUUUUGUUUUAGUUUUAUUUUAGGCUGGAUGUUUGUUUCAAAUAUAAUUGUUCUUUUUUUUUUUCUCAUUUUCUUCUUGCUUGACCUUUAUUUCUGAAACACCAUCAGUACUUGACCAUUCAAAGAAAAGUUAAAAACGCCUUUUCAGAACCAGUUUUACUCAACAGAUUUGUAAAUGGAAAGAUUAUUUUCGCAUCCUCUACGAGGUCAUAAAUGAAGGAUUGAUAUUUUUCUGUAGCUUUAACAUAUGAGUUAUUUCAAAGAGUGUAAGUAACAACACUUUUUUUUUGCAUUUGACUUCAGUCAUUUUCCUCAUAUUUGUAGGAUAAAUAUCCUUGAUGUGACUCUUGAUUAGUGCUUUGUAUCCAUAUACGCUCCACCCAGCUUCAACAGUCAUCAACUUUCUGUUGUUUCAUCUGUUGUCCCUUAAAAUUUUUUUUGCAGUGGGCCAGGCACGAUGGCUCAUGCCUGUAAUCCCAGCACCUUGGGAGGCCGAGGCGGGUGGAUCACCUGAGGUCAGGAGUUUGAGUCUAGCCUGAUCAACAUGGCAAAACCCCGGCUCUACUAAAAUGACAAAAAUUAGCUGGACGUGGUGGAGUGCGCUUAUAGUCCCAGCUACUUGGGAGGUGGAGGCAGGAGAAUUGCUUGAACCCGGGAGGCGGAGGUUACAGUGCCUGCCUGGGCAAUAGAGUGAGACUCUGUCUCAAAACAAAAAAAAAAAAAAAAAAAA
This 6142-nucleotide long non-coding RNA is filed under the name Macaca mulatta (Rhesus monkey). RNAcentral's name for it is "lncRNA (ENSMMUG00000063784.1)". Lineage: Eukaryota; Metazoa; Chordata; Mammalia; Primates; Cercopithecidae. The record is from RNAcentral.